RNAcentral lists this long non-coding RNA (198 nucleotides) under Mustela putorius furo (domestic ferret). Its description in RNAcentral is "lncRNA (ENSMPUG00000028172.1)". Lineage: Eukaryota; Metazoa; Chordata; Mammalia; Carnivora; Mustelidae. The record is from RNAcentral.
CAGAGAAAUGGAGUGUGUCUCCUAAAAGUUUUUUCAAGCAGAGUUCCAGUGUCUCAUGGAUUCAGGGUCUGCCUCUCAGAAAACGGAAUGAAUUCAGUCCUGGAGCACAUGCCCAGCAGUACAUGAGAGGGAUCCUGGAGCCUGCUGGAAGCCAUGUCACUACCACAAUGCAGUGAACUGAAACCAUAGGGACAGAAA